AGACCCUGAUGAGGACACUUUCUUAGUAGCUCUUUAAACCUUCCCAAGUUUCAUAUAAGGAUUCCUCAUCCUGUUGUGAAUAUGUAUUAAUUUCAGUCAUUAAUUU
Molecule: small nucleolar RNA, 106 nt
Filed under: Helianthus annuus (common sunflower)
Lineage: Eukaryota; Viridiplantae; Streptophyta; Magnoliopsida; Asterales; Asteraceae
Description: Plant small nucleolar RNA R71
Rfam family: Plant small nucleolar RNA R71
About the family: R71 is a member of the C/D box family of snoRNAs containing the C (UGAUGA) and D (CUGA) box motifs.
Source: RNAcentral